RNAcentral lists this ribosomal RNA (1484 nucleotides) under Lactobacillus helveticus. RNAcentral describes it as "16S ribosomal RNA". It matches the Rfam family "Bacterial small subunit ribosomal RNA". The record is from RNAcentral. Lineage: Bacteria; Bacillati; Bacillota; Bacilli; Lactobacillales; Lactobacillaceae. RNAcentral also lists the same sequence under 1 other name.
GAACGCUGGCGGCGUGCCUAAUACAUGCAAGUCGAACGAACUCUGGUAUUGAUUGGUGCUUGCAUCAUGAUUUACAUUUGAGUGAGUGGCGAACUGGUGAGUAACACGUGGGAAACCUGCCCAGAAGCGGGGGAUAACACCUGGAAACAGAUGCUAAUACCGCAUAACAACUUGGACCGCAUGGUCCGAGCUUGAAAGAUGGCUUCGGCUAUCACUUUUGGAUGGUCCCGCGGCGUAUUAGCUAGAUGGUGGGGUAACGGCUCACCAUGGCAAUGAUACGUAGCCGACCUGAGAGGGUAAUCGGCCACAUUGGGACUGAGACACGGCCCAAACUCCUACGGGAGGCAGCAGUAGGGAAUCUUCCACAAUGGACGAAAGUCUGAUGGAGCAACGCCGCGUGAGUGAAGAAGGGUUUCGGCUCGUAAAACUCUGUUGUUAAAGAAGAACAUAUCUGAGAGUAACUGUUCAGGUAUUGACGGUAUUUAACCAGAAAGCCACGGCUAACUACGUGCCAGCAGCCGCGGUAAUACGUAGGUGGCAAGCGUUGUCCGGAUUUAUUGGGCGUAAAGCGAGCGCAGGCGGUUUUUUAAGUCUGAUGUGAAAGCCUUCGGCUCAACCGAAGAAGUGCAUCGGAAACUGGGAAACUUGAGUGCAGAAGAGGACAGUGGAACUCCAUGUGUAGCGGUGAAAUGCGUAGAUAUAUGGAAGAACACCAGUGGCGAAGGCGGCUGUCUGGUCUGUAACUGACGCUGAGGCUCGAAAGUAUGGGUAGCAAACAGGAUUAGAUACCCUGGUAGUCCAUACCGUAAACGAUGAAUGCUAAGUGUUGGAGGGUUUCCGCCCUUCAGUGCUGCAGCUAACGCAUUAAGCAUUCCGCCUGGGGAGUACGGCCGCAAGGCUGAAACUCAAAGGAAUUGACGGGGGCCCGCACAAGCGGUGGAGCAUGUGGUUUAAUUCGAAGCUACGCGAAGAACCUUACCAGGUCUUGACAUACUAUGCAAAUCUAAGAGAUUAGACGUUCCCUUCGGGGACAUGGAUACAGGUGGUGCAUGGUUGUCGUCAGCUCGUGUCGUGAGAUGUUGGGUUAAGUCCCGCAACGAGCGCAACCCUUAUUAUCAGUUGCCAGCAUUAAGUUGGGCACUCUGGUGAGACUGCCGGUGACAAACCGGAGGAAGGUGGGGAUGACGUCAAAUCAUCAUGCCCCUUAUGACCUGGGCUACACACGUGCUACAAUGGAUGGUACAACGAGUUGCGAACUCGCGAGAGUAAGCUAAUCUCUUAAAGCCAUUCUCAGUUCGGAUUGUAGGCUGCAACUCGCCUACAUGAAGUCGGAAUCGCUAGUAAUCGCGGAUCAGCAUGCCGCGGUGAAUACGUUCCCGGGCCUUGUACACACCGCCCGUCACACCAUGAGAGUUUGUAACACCCAAAGUCGGUGGGGUAACCUUUUAGGAACCAGCCGCCUAAGGUGGGACAGAUGAUUAGGG